GGGCAGCCCAACACAAGUGGGGUCCUGUAUCUAUGUCACCAUGGCCUGGAUUCCUGUCCUCUUCAUGCUCCUCUCCCAGUGUACAGGUUCCCUCUCCCAGCCAAGGCUGACUCAGCCACCAUCUCUCUCUGCCUUUCUCAGAACAACAGCCAGACUCAGCGGCAACCUGAGCAGUGGCUUCAGUGUCGGGAGUUAUAACAUAUACUGGUACCAGCAGAAGCCAGGGAGCCUUCCCAGGUAUCUCCUGUGGUUCUACUCAGACUCAGAUAAGCACCAGGGCUCGGGGGUCCCCAGCCGCUUCUCUGGCUCCAAAGAUGCCAAUGCAGGGCUUCUACUCAUCUCUGGGCUCCAGCCUGAGGACGAGGCUGACUAUUACUGUGCUAUAUACCAUAGCAGUGGCAGCAGCUAUCAUUACUCCCAAUGUCUCAGAUAA
Non-coding RNA from Lontra canadensis (Northern American river otter), 433 nucleotides. NCBI's taxonomy places the organism in Eukaryota, Metazoa, Chordata, Mammalia, Carnivora, Mustelidae. The record is from the annotation of a RefSeq genome assembly.